UCCCCCCGAGUUGGUAGAAUUAGAAACUGCUGGAGUUUGAACUCUGCACUGUGUUGUCCUGUGAAGGUCCUGAUAUGCCUGCAAUUGUCUUCUUUGUUAGGUUGUUCAAGAGGAUGCUUUGAGAAGAAACAGAAUAAGAGGUGGAUCGAGUGCUUAUAGUUUUUCUUCAGGAAGACUUGCUCCAAACAGUCACACACACACACAACCCAUAUUGCAGUGCCUCACUUUUAUUUGUUUGUCAGAUGCUUAUGACAUGCUCAAUACAUAUUUGCUGAAAUUAACCUAAUGUUUUUAAAGAAUUUUCCAAAUAACUUUUUUUGGGGACAGAGUCUCACUCUGUCACCCAGGCUGGCAUGCAGUGGCAAAAUAUCGGCUUGCUACAGCCUCUGCCUCCUGGUUCCAUGUAAUUAUCCUGCCUCAGCCUCCUGGGUAGGUGGAACUACAGAUGCACACCACCGCACCCUGAUAAUUUUUGUAUUUUUUAGUAGAGAUGGGGUUUCAUCAUAUUGGCCAGGCUCAUGAUCCACCCACCUCGA
This 536-nucleotide long non-coding RNA is filed under the name Pan troglodytes (chimpanzee). Its description in RNAcentral is "lincRNA". Lineage: Eukaryota; Metazoa; Chordata; Mammalia; Primates; Hominidae. The record is from RNAcentral.